GACGAACGUUGGCGGCGUGCUUAAUACAUGCAAGUCAACUGAAGCAGUGGUAGCAAUAUCGCUGUGGAGGUGGCGCACGGGUGAGUAACACGUAGGUAAUCUGCCUUCAGGUCUGGCAUAACUCCGGGAAACCGGGGCUAAUAGCAGAUGAUGCAGCGGCUCGACAUCGAGACAGUUGCUAAAGCUAUGGCGCCUGAAGAUGAGCCUGCGUCUGAUUAGCUAGUUGGCGGGGUAACGGCCCACCAAGGCAACGAUCAGUAGCUGGUCUGAGAGGAUGAUCAGCCACACUGGAACUGAGACACGGUCCAGACUCCUACGGGAGGCAGCAGUAAGGAAUAUUGCUCAAUGGGAGAAAUCCUGAAGCAGCAACGCCGCGUGAGGGACGAAGGGCUUUGGCUUGUAAACCUCUGUAGUGAGAGAAAAAAAUCCCAAUCUUUGGGACAUGAUGGUAUCUCAAAAGUAAGCCCCGGCUAACUACGUG
This 481-nucleotide ribosomal RNA is filed under the name uncultured bacterium. Its description in RNAcentral is "partial 16S ribosomal RNA". It matches the Rfam family "Bacterial small subunit ribosomal RNA", at positions 28 to 507 of the family's 1533-position model. The record is from RNAcentral.